Molecule: ribosomal RNA, 725 nt
Filed under: Lobothallia recedens
Lineage: Eukaryota; Fungi; Ascomycota; Lecanoromycetes; Pertusariales; Megasporaceae
Description: mitochondrial SSU rRNA
Rfam family: Bacterial small subunit ribosomal RNA
Source: RNAcentral
GGAAGGAAUGUAUAGCGAAAGCUAGUUGUAUUAAGAUCGUCCUUUAGUUAAUGCAGCAUCGACUAUGUCGAAUAAAGUUCUAGGUAGAGUUAUGAUAAUGACAUUUUCUACCUAUGUGUCUUGACCAAGUCACGUGCCAGCAGUCGCGGUAAUACGUGGAAGACUAGUGUUAUUCAUCUUUAAUAGGUUUAAAGGGUACUUAGACGGUAAAUUUAGCCCAGAUUAAAACAAAGGGUACUAAUAAUACUAGAGUUUAAUGAGAGGGGGGGUGUAAUAGUGGAGUAGCGAUGAAAUUCUGUCAUACCAUUAUGACAGGCAACGGCGAAAGCAACCUUUUAUGUGAAAACUGACGUUAAAGGACGAAGGCUUUGUAUCGCCAACAGGAUUAGGUACCCAAGUAGUCUCAGCAGACAAUUCUGAAUGCCAUAGAUAAGAUGUAAUUUUGUCUAUAAAUGAAAGUGUAAGCAUUCCACCUCAAGAGUAAUGUGGCAACGCACAAACUGAAAUCAUUAGACCGUUUCUGAAACCAGUAGUGAAGUAUGUUGUUUAAUUUGAUGGUCCGCACAAAACCUUACCACAAUUUGUAUAUUAUUAUCUUAAUACAGGAGUUGCACGGCUGUCUUCAGUUAAUGUCGUGAGAUUUAGGUUAAUUCCGAUAAAUUAACGUAAACCCUUACUUUAUUUAUGUUAUAAAGUAGUUCGCCGCUAUAUUGGUUAUGAUAAAA